This 253-nucleotide ribosomal RNA is filed under the name uncultured bacterium. RNAcentral describes it as "partial 16S ribosomal RNA". It matches the Rfam family "Bacterial small subunit ribosomal RNA", at positions 524 to 776 of the family's 1533-position model. The record is from RNAcentral.
UACGUAGGGUGCGAGCGUUAAUCGGAAUUACUGGGCGUAAAGCGUGCGCAGGCGGUUUUGUAAGCCAGAUGUGAAAGCCCCGGGCUUAACCUGGGAAGUGCAUUGCAAACUGUAUUACUGGAGUAUAUGAGAGGGUGGCGGAAUUUCCGGUGUAGCGGUGAAAUGCGCAGAUAUCAGGAAGAACACCCGUGGCGAAGGCGGCUCUCUGGGACGGUACUGACGCUGAGACGCGAAAGCGUGGGGAGCGAACAGG